This 482-nucleotide ribosomal RNA is filed under the name uncultured bacterium. Its description in RNAcentral is "partial 16S ribosomal RNA". It matches the Rfam family "Bacterial small subunit ribosomal RNA", at positions 30 to 507 of the family's 1533-position model. The record is from RNAcentral.
AUUGAACGCUGGCGGCAUGCCUUACACAUGCAAGUCGAACGGUAACAGGUCUUCGGAUGCUGACGAGUGGCGAACGGGUGAGUAAUACAUCGGAACGUGCCCGAUCGUGGGGGAUAACGAGGCGAAAGCUUUGCUAAUACCGCAUACGAUCUACGGAUGAAAGCGGGGGAUCUUCGGACCUCGCGCGGACGGAGCGGCCGAUGGCAGAUUAGGUAGUUGGUGGGAUAAAAGCUUACCAAGCCGACGAUCUGUAGCUGGUCUGAGAGGAUGAUCAGCCACAUUGGGACUGAGACACGGCCCAGACUCCUACGGGAGGCAGCAGUGGGGAAUUUUGGACAAUAGGCGAAAGCCUGAUCCAGCCAUGCCGCGUGCAGGAUGAAGGCCUUCGGGUUGUAAACUGCUUUUGUACGGAACGAAAAGCCUCUUUCUAAUAAAGAGGGGUCAUGACGGUACCGUAAGAAUAAGCACCGGCUAACUACGUG